RNAcentral lists this ribosomal RNA (435 nucleotides) under Callinectes bocourti (Bocourt swimming crab). RNAcentral describes it as "partial small subunit ribosomal RNA". The stretch from base 52 to 435 matches the Rfam family "Microsporidia small subunit ribosomal RNA", at positions 752 to 1287 of the family's 1311-position model. The record is from RNAcentral. Lineage: Eukaryota; Metazoa; Arthropoda; Malacostraca; Decapoda; Portunidae.
UAGAUACCCCUAUUAUACCAAAAAGUAAUUAUUAUAAGCCUAAGUAUUAAUAGUUAUUUUCUAAAAAUUUGAAAAAUUUGGCGGUGGUUCAGUCCUGUCAGAGGAACCUGUCUUUUAAACGAUACACCACGAAAUAUCUUACUUAAACUGAUAUAGUAUGUAUACCAUCAUUAUUAGGUAAUUUUUAUAGAAUAAAUUACUAAAGGCUAGCAAGUGAAGCUAAAUAUAUUAGAUCAAGGUGCAGCUUAUGUUUAAGUUAAGAUGGGUUACAAUAAUAUUUAUUUAAUACGGAUAGGUGAUUUAAAUAUUGCCUGGAAGGAGGAUUUGAUUGUAAAAAUAGUUUAAUAUGCUAUUUAGAUAUAGGCUCUGAAGCAUGUACAUAUCGCCCGUCGCUUUCAUUCAUAAAAUGAGAUAAGUCGUAACAUAGUAGAUGUA